UUCCGAGGUUGUUAAAAUGGGGAGCCAGAUUGUUGGGAGCAACAGGCUGACUCUGUAAACGGCUUAGAGAGGGCUGUAAAUGCAUUGUGAAGCAGUAUAUAAAUCUAAGUGCUGUUGCUAUUGCUCUCUCUCUUUUUCCCUCUUUGCAGAUCGAGGGGGGAACCGUGCAACGGGAUUUCAAGCAGACACGGAGCCAGGAUCAAAUUAUAGAGAUCUUUUUGAAGUUUGUGAAGAAUCGCGUGGAUGUGUUGAAAAUCUACUUGGCCCGCCUGGAGAAUUUAUGCCAAGCCUUGGAUGAGUCCAACUUCUUCAAGAGGCACGAGGUGGUCGGGAGUUCUCUGCUCUUCCUCCACGACCAGAAAGGCCAUGCCAGCAUCUGGAUGAUCGACUUUGGCAAGACUCUCCCAGCGCCAGCCCACUCCCACCUUCGCCACAACGUGGCUUGGACCCCCGGGAGCCACGAAGACGGCUACCUGAUCGGCCUGCAGCACCUGACCCACACCAUCCGGGCGACUCUGGCCAGAGCCGAGCAGAGCCAGGAGCCUCUCCUGGGUCCCUCCUGAGCCUGCGGCCCCCGGCACACAGCCGAGAGUGGUGGCAGCCGUGCUGCUUGGGGAGGGGGCAGCUGCUUUGCCAGAACGGUGGAGGGAGCCGGGACCCCCUUGCAACAUCCCAGAUCUUGCCGAAAAGCUGUGACCUGCCGGCUGUUGGGAUUGCAACCGCACCAGAAACACACAACACAAGGAUUUUGUGGCGAAGGGAUGUAAUUUCCUCUCCAGCCUUCCCGUUCCUUUUCCGGCUCACCUCCCCACACCAAAGGGGUCUCCAAAGGGGUCUCUCAUUUCCCGAGGCCAUUUUCAAGCCCCUCCGGGGUGGGGCCGACCUCCCUCCCCCCCUUGGAAAAACAGCGACAGCGAGGAGGGCCACGGAAUCCCAAAGGAAAAGAAGAAUCGUGGCGAAGUUGCUCACACGGGAUCGAAGGCCGGACUUUCACAGGAAGAGGGGAGAUUCAGAACCGGGGAUCGCCCAGAGUUUAUCCGCCGUGAACCGAACCGCCGUUUUACUCUGUCUGCCCCGACUUUGCAGUUUUCGUGCAACCUGCCGGAGCGAAAGGUGGCUGCGAGGGCCGGACUUUGGCAAGGCUGGGUCAUCUGCAAGUCAGGGUGUCACACGUGUACUACACCCCCCCUGGACAAGUCGGAAACUGGUACCUUUGCAAAGAUGCAACCUCCUCUUGGGAUGUUGGCUUGAGAUGAAUUAAAAGCCAGGCAGAGGGGCC
This 1279-nucleotide long non-coding RNA is filed under the name Notechis scutatus (mainland tiger snake). RNAcentral describes it as "lncRNA (ENSNSUG00000002118.1)". The record is from RNAcentral. Lineage: Eukaryota; Metazoa; Chordata; Lepidosauria; Squamata; Elapidae.